GCCGCAACAGAAAAUAUUGGUGGUUGAGAAGCAUGCGGAGUCCGUAGAACUGUAGGAUCCAUUGAAGGGAGAUAAGGAAAGCCCUAAAUAGAUACAUACAUCUGAUCUGCAACUACCUGCAUCUGGUAAGGAGGUGUUGGGGAAUACCCACCGACCGACCAACGGUCGGAGGGACCGACCGACUGACGGCUGGAGGGACCGACCAACCGACUGACGGACGUCAUCACCGGCCAAUUAGCGGCCCAUCACCGACUGGUGAUAUGUCGGGCGUACCUUUCCCGAUCAACUGAACCUGGAGGUCUGAUGGCCGACUCACGUAAGACUCGCCGACCAACGGAGGGCCCCGACGCCACUCAGCUGGCCACCGACCUAGGGUCGGUCGACUCCUCCGAUCGCCGUACAGCCGCC
RNAcentral lists this long non-coding RNA (408 nucleotides) under Elaeis guineensis (African oil palm). Its description in RNAcentral is "long non-coding RNA (EGUI_LNC000506)". The record is from RNAcentral. Lineage: Eukaryota; Viridiplantae; Streptophyta; Magnoliopsida; Arecales; Arecaceae.